Molecule: long non-coding RNA, 4461 nt
Filed under: Varroa destructor (honeybee mite)
Lineage: Eukaryota; Metazoa; Arthropoda; Arachnida; Mesostigmata; Varroidae
Description: uncharacterized LOC111247630, transcript variant X2
Source: RNAcentral
GUCGAAAUGGCUCAAUUUCCUCUCCGGAAACGAAUAAUAUUCCGCCCACGCAGCCGCCAUCCCCAAAAAGGAGAGAGGAACACAACAAACGAUGGAUGGAUGAAUGGAUGGAUGGACAGACAGACAGACAGACAGACAGACAGACAGAAUAUGUAUCUUUAUAUCUAAAGAGAUAGAAACGGUCUCGCAUACCGUAUUCCCAUUCUCUCGCAAGUUCUCUCUCUUGAAUGUCGCUGCCACCUCGCUACACAUACCCACAUGCACUUCGCUUACUAUACUCUGCGCCCACCGCUGCUCGCUAGAUAGGCUCUGCGAUGUUGAACUAAACAGCCGACUUCACGACGGCUGCAGUGACGCUCGUCGUCCAGACGUUCUCUUUCUUGGUCGGUCGGUCGGUCGGUCGGCUGGAUUGUGGUUUUGUGAUGGGUAGUGUGGCCUAGGACAGGGAGCAUACGACGGAACACGACCAUCAUGCAGGUGUUUGCUUCAACGUCAUCAAUUUUUUUGUUAUUACGAUAAUGGAUUCUAGAGUGGGAAUAUAAAUGGGACAUUACUGCUGAGGCCGUCGGAGAACCGAAUGAAUACACUAGUGCUGCUGCUGCUGCUGUUGCACCAUGGUCGUGGAUGCUGGCGAUGACGAGCGGCGGGGCAGGGCCUACGAAGAGGCAAAUGGCUGCUUGUUGUCAGUUGGCGCAACCUUCUUCUCUUACCGUCGUGUUUCGUUCGCAAUUGUGGUGCCAAUGGCGGUCGUCAUAGCAGCAGCUGCCGCCGCUGCCAGUGAUGACGGUCGUAGUAAUAGCGGAAACAUGACCCUGUUGCCCGAUGCGCGCUAUGCCUAUGCCUAGGCCUCCAACUAAGAGUCGCGCCCACAGACGCCCAUUCUCGUUGAAAAAAUGAAUUUAUUAAUGGCCGUGUGGACAGAAAGGGUCAGCUUACCACUCCAGUCUAUGACGAAGACCUUGACAUCAAAAUGCAGCUUGUCUUCAGCAAACGAGCCCCUUCGAGACACACACGCUACACGAUAAGCCAGCCGAGCACGCGAACUCCCAUCAUCAGCUAGUGACGAUGAUGGUUUUCAUCACUGCACUUUACUGGAUUUUUAAUGCUACUAGUGGAAAACAAACGUAAUGGUGUUCAAAUUCUCUCAAUGGCCCUGUUCCGUUGAUGUCGGAUUGCCGGAGACGCUGCAUUCAAGGAGCAUAUAGCGCUGCCGCUAGGGACAGGCAUCAACCCCGUGCGACAACAAUUAGAUCUCUUGUGUCGUUACUCUAGUCAUUUGUGCGUGCAUAAAUGUACCAUACUCGUAAGUAUAAUAAGUACCAUGCAUGUGCGUGUGUGAGAGGUAAAAAAAGCAACAACUAUAUCCACAGAGAUCAGAAAAAUUAAGGAACACGAAGCAGUACGAGUGAUAGGGGACCAUUGUGCGAGAUGAAGAAGGAGAAGGUUUGUUCACGUUCAGCUAUCAGCCGAUCGAGAGAAGUUAAGGUUGUCUGUUCUAUUUUGUCUGUCCUGGCUGGCUGUCUGUCUGUCUGUGUGUUCUGCACGAGCUGUCUCCUACUGCACCAAGAUCAGCUGCUGCUUUGCUGGCUUGACUGGCCGCUUGGCCUGAUCGCUGGUAGCUACGGAUGCCAACUAGAAGAACAAGAAGGCGAAGAAGCGGCCAAGCUAGCCUAGCGAUUCGGUCGUUCGUGACCCUCGUGAGUCACCCAUUCUUGGACUGAGGUCUGCCGAGAGAAAGGACGGAAGGGGAGAACGCCUCGAGAUGGUAAGGCGGUUACACUGGGCCACUGCCUCCGCAGUAGCUACAAUGACUGCACGAACUCGUCCAACCCGCUCCACACUCCACCAGUAUUGUGCCAUUGUACCGCGAUCAACAAAAAAACUAGCCAUGCUUCAGAAGGUUACUGACUGCUGGUCCGACAAAACUAUGGUUCUACGACGACUGAUUUCCUGAAUACACUCCUGCGCCCUUUGGCUCCUACAGUAAGAGGCUUUCCGCGGUGUUCAGGCCUUUGCACAUGCAAGCAGAACAGUCUCCUGUACAGCGGGCUUAGGCUGCAAGUGAAUCGUCCGUGUCUCCAUAGCUAGCGAUUUGGCGCUGGUUAACCGUUAUUCUCUUCGAAGCGAAGCAGAUUUCGUUCGCCACUUCAUUUAAAGCAUAGCAGACUUCUUGACCAAUUGUGUUAAGUUUCGUCACGGAAAACUGAGCGUCUUGCUCAUGCAGCUUCUGCUCCUGAUGCAGCCGUCGCUUUAUCGUCAGCUUCGAUGCCAUCGAAUUCGCAAAAACAACGAAAAACAUAGACCGGCAUAUUGUUGUCGUUGUUAGUGGGAGCGCCAUUGCGUGCGCUAGGGGGGCGGUCCUGGGUCUCCAUUACGGUCGCAGUAGGGCUGUUGUUAGCGAACCGCUGCAGCAGAACAUACCCCAGGACCGCGGAGACAGUGGGAAAUUUGCAGUUGAAACAAAGAGGUGGGCAGGACCCGCUCAGCAGAGGAAAGAAGCUAUGGCUGUAGACGGACUGUGACGAGGUGAUGUACGAUCGUCUCCCCACAAAAUAACUAAUCCUGCUUCUCCGCUGGUAGAUCGGCCGGCCCUCUUUCCCUCCACUAGAAUCUCCCUGUUUAUUUCCCGCGGUCGACGACAUAACCAUCUUUGGUGAGGACCAAAGGUAGUGAUCAGAAAUUAAGCGAAGUCGUCAUGAAGAGUUAAAGGCCCUCAGUGAUGGUCGCGGCUAGAACAUUCCCGGGAUAAGCGAAGGUGAACCUCGCCAAUGAAACUGACACAUGGCAAUAACAACAAUAGCAGUGGUGCAAUAAUAAGCAGGUGGUAUAGGAAACAAUGAAAGCUAUAGCUUGAUCUUUUACCCGUUUAUCACAACUUCUUGACGCAAAAGCUUCUUCACUGAAGAAGAUCGAUUCGAAGCAACUGAAACAGAGGGCUCAUCAGGAAAAUCAACGUCUGAUGUAGCAAGUAUAGCAGCUCUUCACUGUGAUCGUCGCGCUUUUUGGUCGAUUUGAUGGAAAAUGAAAUUGCCCCGGAAGUGAAAAGGAACAAAAAACUUCGUAAGGAGAAGAAAAUUUGUGGAGAAGGGGCAAUAAUAGACUAAACUAGGCGUCCUGUUUCUUGAGUCGACCGUUGCCUUGCACAGUAAAAGUAGUAAAAAGCAAGGUGCAUCUGGUAUCCCACGGAUGGCUAUUCCUUUGAGGGUGAUGGACAGCCUGGACAACUUGCACUACCUUCAUUUGGACCAUGUGUUUGUUGCACUACCUUACAGCCUUUGGUCCCUUCAUUCCCUGAACUAUGCCUCUUCUCUUUCAGCGACCUCACGAAUCCAUCGAAUCGAUGCACACAAGGAAAAAGAAUGGGAGUGAGGGGCAAGAAGUUUACGACGAAAUCACUACAAACGCGGUUAUCGUAUACAAUGCAUAGCAAGUCCUUAAAGAGACCUAUAACAUGGAUCGUAGGCCAGAUACGUGUAAAAUCUACUUGUACCAAGAUGAUUCGAUACCUUAGGAAACGUCGUGAAAUAAAUAUGUAACUAAAACAAUAUAAUUUCAAUAGGAAGCUAAUAGCAAAUUUCAGAUUCGUAUCACAGAAUUAACUGGCCGUUGCCGCUGUGGGUACAUUUCGUUCUACGACUACACUUUUACGCCGCUCGUAUUGCCCCUGACUGGACGUGCAGGCGUAACCGACUAAUUUAAUAGUAGUAGCGGAUAAUGCAAGGGCGUUUGGCAUCGUUGCAGUGAUUCAGCUCCGAUCUAUUGAGUACGCACGAGUCAUGGAAUUGCCUCUCGAAAUUUAACCAAGAGUCACCCGCUUUCUACGAUGUGCCUCCGCUGUAUUACUAUGAAUCAUUAUGGUUCGAACCGCUAAUUGUAUUACUCCUCGAAGACUUUCAUUAAGCCUAGUUGUCAAACGGUCACUCAUUGGCAUUAUGUAAUCCAAAGUCAUUCUCAGGUGUUAUCAAUGAUCAUCGAUGAAAACAGCCGUCCAAAUUCUGUUCUUUUUCGUGCAUCAGAGUAGAAUCAGAACAUAGAAAGAUGGCACGGUGGCCUCCAGCUAAAGAACAGCCCCUCAAAGGUCGUGAUGUCAAAGAUAUAGCUCACAUCCGCCAGCAUCCACAAUCAUUGUGUUUUUUCGUCUCUUACAUGAAGGAACUCAACCUCGUCGGGGCUGGCUUUUUCUCGGCAGAACAAUUUCAAGCAACACAGUAUACAUAUGCAUGCAUUUACGCGUUACCUGUAUUUGGCAACUAUAGACUUUGGCCAACAUGUGCGUGAAUACAUUUCUACCUGUUCGCACAACACGGCUGCCGAACAGACGAGGUCUCCUGUUGAGAUUAGCUGCUAAAGUCAUACUGUAUCUACACUCGACAAAAAACGGCAGGCAGCAGGCCAGACCCACGUUCAUAAACGCAUAGCUUGGUUAUUUACUUUAUUUUAUUUACUUAUUUAUUCGGGUAA